RNAcentral lists this ribosomal RNA (452 nucleotides) under uncultured bacterium. RNAcentral's name for it is "bacterial SSU rRNA". It matches the Rfam family "Bacterial small subunit ribosomal RNA", at positions 340 to 786 of the family's 1533-position model. The record is from RNAcentral.
UACGGAAGGCAGCAGGGGGAAUAUUGCACAAUGGGCGCAAGCCUGAUGCAGCCAUGCCGCGUGUAUGAAAAAGGCCUUCGGGUUGUAAAGUACUUUCAGUCGUGAGGAAGGCGUUAAGGUUAAUAACCUUAGCAAUUGACGUUAGCGACAGAAGAAGCACCGGCUAACUCCGUGCCAGCAGCCGCGGUAAUACGGAGGGUGCGAGCGUUAAUCGGAAUUACUGGGCGUAAAGGGCACGCAGGCGGUUAAUUAAGUUGGAUGUGAAAUCCCCGGGCUUAACCUGGGAAUGGCAUUCAAGACUGGUUAGCUAGAGUCUUGUAGAGGGGGUAGAAUUCCAUGUGUAGCGGUGAAAUGCGUAGAGAUGUGGAGGAAUACCGGUGGCAAAGGCGGCCCCUGGACAAAGACUGACGCUCAUGUGCGAAAGCGUGGGGAGCAAACAGGGAUUAGAUACC